UUCUUAAUGAGCAGACCAUGGCCACCUGUGAGCUUGGUGGCCACGCCCCUCCACAUGCUACAAGACAGAUCUCACACACAAGCUUUUGCUUGGGAGAGGCGAAGGUCGAGUCAUGCGUCCCCCGAAACAUCACCCACCAAACCGCACUCCUUAACACCCGCCGCCCGCUAAACCCGGAAGCCAGCCGCACCAAUGUGACGGAGGAAACACUGUUCAACUGAUGACCAGAGUCAGCCUGCAGGCGACCACCCCGCCCAGCAGUUUUUGCUAGGCUACCUGCCCUCGUUCAUUUCUUCAACACUUUCUCCCUCCCAUCACCCAGUGUAUCAGACUCUAAACUAUGGAGGGAAUUACUCUCUAUCCUCCAAACAAAAAGCAUCUCUCCUUCUCUCCAGGUCUCUCCUGAUGUGAGAGCCUGUGAGGAAUAAAAUGUCCUUAAUCAGACCAAG
Molecule: long non-coding RNA, 449 nt
Organism: Oncorhynchus kisutch (coho salmon)
Lineage: Eukaryota; Metazoa; Chordata; Actinopteri; Salmoniformes; Salmonidae
Exons: 2
Source: RefSeq, a predicted model, not a curated record